AUGAAUACAUCGUCUUCUACGCACGGCGGCGCUGCCUUGGAUCGGCCCUCCAUCGUGCCGCUUCGGUCGUCACCACGCAUCUCAGCUCCAAUAACCAGGUCACGAUGGCUGAUGAUGAGCUCCAGGCUCCGCUGGCUCCACCAACAGCUGUCUGCGAGCACUUGCAUAGGUCAGCUGAGAUGCGUCACGUCCCCUCUGGUUUAUCUAAACGGCUGCAAAAGUAUGGUCAGAAAUUAA
RNAcentral lists this ribosomal RNA (237 nucleotides) under Triticum aestivum (bread wheat). RNAcentral's name for it is "partial small subunit ribosomal RNA". The record is from RNAcentral. Lineage: Eukaryota; Viridiplantae; Streptophyta; Magnoliopsida; Poales; Poaceae.